Long non-coding RNA from Triticum dicoccoides, 1008 nucleotides. RefSeq lists it as uncharacterized. The transcript is spliced from 3 exons. The record is from RefSeq and is a predicted model, not a curated record. NCBI's taxonomy places the organism in Eukaryota, Viridiplantae, Streptophyta, Magnoliopsida, Poales, Poaceae.
CGAGAUGGAGACCAAGCUCAUGGCUCAGUGCGGCCAGAGGCACAAUCAACAAUUGACUGACAUUGACUCACAGUGAGAUAGAACUAAGUAACAAAAUCAAGAUGCGUGCGUACGACAUCAUAGCUGGAAAGGCGAAUGUUUCGGUGUGUAUGCCGCUGCCACUGAUCUUAUGAAACGAUGCAUGGUUAAUCUGAAGUGUAUCGCCAAAGAGGCAGAGUUGAUGUGCGAGCAUAUGUGCAUGUGUACUUGUGUGUGUUAGCAGGCAGGAGCCCACCGCCGUGCCCGCCGGCGGCAUCGCCCAUGGCCGAGAAGACCGAGGACACCGAGGACCCAACGCCCUCAAGUACGAUGGCGUUGUACCGUCCUUUCUGCUGCGACUUAUGUUGACAAGUUUUGAGAUCGAUCUCAAUCUACAUAUGACCGUGAUCGGGAGGCGAACCCGGUUGCGCUUAGAGACAGUUGAAUAAUGGAGAUCCUCCAGCCACCGAGCUCCUCAAGGACACCUAAGGUGAGAAAUCCACGUUUUUUCAUACUGCUUGACGUUUAGGCCGAGCAGCCUGGUGAACUUCGACCCCAUCCAACCUCAUUUCGGCCACCACGUGGCUCCCCUCCCCACCUCACCCCGUCCAACGCAGUGCCUUCGUGCUAAGAGUUCAAGGGACUGUCCCCUCUCACCUAAGACAAGGUACAGUUUUUGAUCUUUCUUACACAUUUCUUCUGCUCAUGUACUAAUGUAAAGGUUUCACAAGGUAUGUUGGUUAUGUGGGCAUUCGUAUGAAGUUAUGUGAGCAUGCGCUAGGUAUGAAAAGUUUUGUUUUAGUUGAUUGACAUUGAGGAUUAAAAACCUUAAAUGUGCCAUCAUGUUUUUAGGCGGUGUGCUCCAGGUUUGGCAAAUAUUAACUAACACUACAUGAACAUGAAGAUAAUCUUGGUGCCGGGCAAGCCUCACAUAGAGGUACAAUAUUCUUGGCAUAUCAAUAAUCCGAUUUAAUUAAUGUUGUUUGCCGA